AGUGAACGCUGGCGGUAGGCCUAACACAUGCAAGUCGAACGGCAGCACAAGAGAGCUUGCUCUCUGGGUGGCGAGUGGCGGACGGGUGAGGAAUACAUCGGAAUCUACCUUUUCGUGGGGGAUAACGUAGGGACACUUACGCUAAUACCGCAUACGACCUUCGGGUGAAAGCAGGGGACCUUCUGGCCUUGCGCGGAUAGAUGAGCCGAUGUCGGAUUAGCUAGUUGGCGGGGUAAAGGCCCAACAAGGCGACGAUCCGUAGCUGGUCUGAGAGGAUGAUCAGCCACACUGGAACUGAGACGCGGACCAGACUCCUACGGGAGGCAGCAGUGGGGAAUAUUGGACAAUGGGCGCAAGCCUGAUCCAGCCAUACCGCGUGGGUGAAGAAGGCCUUCGGGUUGUAAAGCCCUUUUGUUGGGAAAGAAAAGCAGCCAGUUAAUACCUGGUUGUUCUGACGGUACCCAAAGAAUAAGCACCGGCUAACUUCGUGCCAGCAGCCGCAGUAA
Molecule: ribosomal RNA, 506 nt
Filed under: uncultured bacterium
Lineage: Bacteria
Description: partial 16S ribosomal RNA
Rfam family: Bacterial small subunit ribosomal RNA
Source: RNAcentral